CCUACGGGUGGCUGCAGUGGGGGAUAUUGGACAAUGGGGGGAACCCUGAUCCAGCGACGCCGCGUGAGUGAAGAAGUCUUUCGGUAUGUAAAGCUCUGUCAGCAGGGAAGAAAGCAAUGACGGUACCUGACCCCGAAGCCCCGACUAACUACGUGCCAGCAGCCGCGGUAAUACGUAGGGGGCAAGCGUUAUCCGGAAUUACUGGGUGUAAAGGGAGCGUAGACGGGUGUGCAAGCCUGGAGUGAAAGGCGGGGGCCCAACCCCCGGACUGCUCUGGAAACUGUAGGGCUGGAGUGCAGGAGAGGUAGGCGGAAGUCGUGGUGUAGCGGUGAAAUGCGUAGAUAUUAGGAAGAACCCCGGUGGCGAAGGCAGCUUACUGGACUGUAACUGACGUUGAGGCUCGAAAGCGUGGGGAGCGAACAGGAUUAGAUACCCUGGUAGUC
This 443-nucleotide ribosomal RNA is filed under the name uncultured bacterium. RNAcentral describes it as "partial 16S ribosomal RNA". It matches the Rfam family "Bacterial small subunit ribosomal RNA", at positions 338 to 795 of the family's 1533-position model. The record is from RNAcentral.